UGGGGAAUUUUGCGCAAUGGGGGAAACCCUGACGCAGCAACGCCGCGUGAGUGAUGAAGGCCUUCGGGUCGUAAAGCUCUUUUAGUGGGGAAGAACCCCUUUCGGGCGAAUAACCCGGGAGGAUGACGGUACCCACAGAAAAAGUUCCGGCUAACUACGUGCCAGCAGCCGCGGUAAUACGUAGGGAGCAAGCGUUGUUCGGAAUUAUUGGGCGUAAAGAGCGCGUAGGCGGUUUGGUAAGUCUGACGUGAAAUCCCGGAGCUCAACUCCGGAACUGCGUUGGAUACUGCCAGGCUUGAGUGUGGGAGAGGAGAGUGGAAUUCCCAGUGUAGAGGUGAAAUUCGUAGAUAUUGGGAGGAACACCCGUGGCGAAGGCGGCUCUCUGGACCACAACUGACGCUGAGGCGCGAAAGCUAGGGUAGCAAACGGG
Molecule: ribosomal RNA, 430 nt
Filed under: uncultured Nitrospinaceae bacterium
Lineage: Bacteria; Pseudomonadati; Nitrospinota; Nitrospinia; Nitrospinales; Nitrospinaceae
Description: bacterial SSU rRNA
Rfam family: Bacterial small subunit ribosomal RNA
Source: RNAcentral